RNAcentral lists this unclassified non-coding RNA (390 nucleotides) under plant metagenome. Its description in RNAcentral is "partial contains 5.8S ribosomal RNA, internal transcribed spacer 2, and large subunit ribosomal RNA". The stretch from base 1 to 105 matches the Rfam family "5.8S ribosomal RNA", at positions 50 to 154 of the family's 154-position model. The record is from RNAcentral.
GAAAUGCGAUACGUAGUGUGAAUUGCAGAAUUCCGUGAACCAUCGAAUCUUUGAACGCAUAUUGCGCUCGAGCCCUCGGGCAAGAGCAUGUCUGCCUCAGCGUCGGUUUACACCCUCACCCCUCCCACUUUUGUUGGGUGUGUUGGCUUCUAUGCCAGCCAUAGGGGUGGAUCUGGCUUCCCCAAUUCGCUGUAGUGGAUUGGGUUGGCUGAAGUAUAGAGGCUUAAGCAAGGACCCGAUAUGGGCUUCAACUGGAUAGGUAGCACCGGCUUUCGCCGACUACACGAAGUUGUUGCUUGUGGAUCUUGCUAGAGGCCAAGCAGGAACGUGCCUGUGGCAUGUCUAAACUUUCGACCUGAGCUCAGGCAAGGCUACCCGCUGAACUUAAGC